Molecule: long non-coding RNA, 2482 nt
Organism: Mesocricetus auratus (golden hamster)
Lineage: Eukaryota; Metazoa; Chordata; Mammalia; Rodentia; Cricetidae
Exons: 4
Source: RefSeq, a predicted model, not a curated record
CCAUGCCUGCCUUCUCAUCAGCUAAAGACUAUCUCAGGCAGGUGCUGCUGGCAUUUUCAUUUCAGGGAUGGGGCCACUGAGCCUCGGAGCAGUUAGGAAACUUGCCUCGGGCACCACACUGCUGAGAACCUGGAGCUGGCCCAGACUCUGUCCUUCUUGUGACCGCCCUGCACCACAGUAGUUCCCACUGAGCUGAAACACAGGCUGGAGGGCAGUGGUGCUGAGGCGGGGGCUCCUAAAUGGGGCUGUCUUGAUGGCCCAGUCCUUGUGAAUGGAUCGAUGCUGGUGGCACUGCUGAGUUUGUUAGGAAGAUGAUUUGGGCUCCCUUCCGUACCCUUCUGCCUCCCACUGUGGACUGACUCACCAACAGGGUCUUAGCCAAGGCCAGCUCCUUGACCUGGGACUUCCCAGUGUCCAGAACGAUGAGAAAUGAUGGACUUUUAUAAACGUAGCCUUUCCUCCCACCAUGGUUUGGCAGCGCAAGAGAAGUAAUCAGACUGGAGUGGAUGGUGAGGUGUGUGUUUAUUAAUGCGCUCCCUGAAGACAGAUGCCAGCAUAGCGUCUGUUUGUGAGCAGCCCUGCCCACUCACCCCUGCUGUGAUGAUCAGGCAUCCGCAUGAUGCAAGGGCUUGGCAGAAAACCAUUCUCUGUCAGCGUGCCCCAGCCUUUUGACGUCAUGCCACGAUGUCAUCUGCACAGCUCAUGCUCAAGAAUAAUGUGGCUGAGUUACCAAAGGAAAAGAGGAGCUCACAAACAAAUCUUGUAAUGUAAUUUGUUUUUAAGUAAUAUAUUUUGUAUUGAACCUCACUCAAAGCUGUUCUGGGACUCAAGCAGCCCACAGGAUAUAGGAUGGAUUUGCCUGAGGCUAGUGAGUGUUCACCAAGAGGUUGGACCGAGAUUCCCAGUUUCUGGGACCCAUCCUGCCCAAGAUAGAGUAAGGACGUCAAGCUGUCGCUACCUUGUAUUCAUUCAGAAAAUAGUUUCUGAGCUCCAUAUUUCUAUUAAGGCUCAUGGCGUGUGUUGUUUUUGUGGAACUGCUCCAAACCACAGUGGCCUGAGCCCAUAAACACUGGACAUGGUCCAUGAGUGCAUGGGUCAGUGGGUGGUUGUGAACAUCGAGUCAAGCUUGGCUGAUCUUUGAGUUUUCUGUUACAUCAGGAGAAGUCAUGGGAGUCUUAUUUGCUGGGAAUAGGCUGUGCCGGACUCUGUUACUCCAUAAAAGAGUGGAUUUUCAGCAUGUGGCUUGCCCUGGGGGAUGCUGAGAAGCAGCUUUUGACUCCAUUUUGAAAAAGGAGGAAGACUGGAGACCCAGGGGGAGAGACCCAAACAUCACCUCCUGCCCAGCGCUGCGCAGGCUGUGCAGACUGAGAGUAGAAAGAGCCCCUCUGUAAACCUACCAAAGUAAACUAAAAGGACACACGGGCAUAUUAACAUCGUAACAGGGAAACCGGGGCUGAACUUAUCAGACACACCCGACCAGAGGAAGUGUGGAACUCCCUUGCCUGAGCCCCAGUAAGUGGCAGAUACCUAACAACCCGGUGACAGCACUGUGCCCCUGACCUGAUACCUGGUGUGCAUCAAGGACUACCAAACAAAGAACACCUGUCUGUCCCUGGAGCUCGGAUUCUGCUAUUGACUCAACCUACCUGAAUGCCCGCUUUCUACCAUUAUCUUUUCCAGGCCUCAGUACAGCUCUCUCUCCAUGCUAGUCUCAUCAUUAGAGAUUCUGGCUGUGAGAAACGCUCUAGAUGACACCUGACACUUUUGGGUGAGACCCGACUGUGACUCUCCCCAAUUCCUUCUGUUGUCUGUGGAGAACAAAACCACAAGGCCUGAGACCCCGAGUGACUAUGACAGUCAAAUUCUGUGCCUCCCACCGCGUCCCUCACUUAUACAGGUUGUACAUGUAGCACUGGAAAACGUAAAUGAAAAGCUAUUUUCUUCUGGUCAAAAAAAAAAGGGGAGUCUGUCUUUGGUUUUUGGUGAAUGUGUAAGAUUCCAAGCUAUGCAAAUGUAAGAGGCUAUGCAGCCAGACCUGUCAAUCAUCUGCCUGGGGAAGGCGGAUUUAACUAACACCAUGCCAAUGAGACACGAAGAAUAAUUAUGCUUUUAAUGAGAUGAUAGACUUUUCCUUCCCAUAAGCCCUGCUUUGGUGCCAUUGCUAUGGAGCGGUCACGAGGCCCGGCGGGGUCUGCUUACCUAUCUGAGUCCCAACUUGGAAAGACCUAACCUUCCUUUGUCUUCUUUGCCAUCUCUUUCUUUCGUUUCUUGGCCAGAACCUGAAUAUGCUUUCUCUGGGAUUUGUUUUCAGUGUUUAUCUGAGGCCAUGGGGCUGCUUACCAAACCUCAAUGCCUAAGUUAGACACGGCUUGCUGGCUUCCUCUUCCCUGCCUUCCUCCUCUGGGCGGCUUCUGGGGGCGGGCAGCUUCCCUGCCCUGUUGUUUUUCUGUUUAAAUUCUAAUAAAAUUGUACCUGAGCCUUU